RNAcentral lists this long non-coding RNA (1969 nucleotides) under Homo sapiens (human). RNAcentral describes it as "lncRNA negative regulator of fibroblast-like synoviocyte migration, SYNCRIP interacting". The record is from RNAcentral. Lineage: Eukaryota; Metazoa; Chordata; Mammalia; Primates; Hominidae.
AGUGAGGUCGGCGCCCGCCAGUAACAAACAUGGCUCCCUGAAGCCGCUCAGGCUCAAGAGCAACAUGGAGGUCUGCACUUAAUCGCUCCUCUCCGGGGGCGGCCAUACCGAGGAGGCGUCUCUUCCGUGCAGGCAGGCUCUCCUGGGGACCUCAGAGAUUCUCUCCAGCGGCAGCGGAAAACGGACAAUGGGUGGAUUCGGGUCCAGAUUCUGGUAGGAGGGAGUUUGGGAUCGAGAUCUGGAAAAAAGCACUAGACUGGAAGAGGACGCGAUGGAGUCGGAGCCGCUGGCGGGGACAAAAACCAGAGGCCGGGGAAGGCGCCGGUGGGAGGCAAGGCACGGAUGGACUUUACCUGCGCACGCGUCGCAGCCAUCUCCGCGCACAGUGGUGGCCACCGCGACUGGUGCUGAAGUGUUGGCGCGUGCCGGGCGCUCCGCUGGGACCCGGGUUGCUGGCCCUGAGUCUCAGCUUUCUCAUCUGUACGGUUGGGACAAGUACAGUAACCCUCGCCCGUCAAGACGGGCCAGGGCUGUGGCGAGGGUCCACGCCUUAGAGCAGGUACCUAUCUUGUGCAGGGCCCUGAGAUGGGGUCUGACUCAGUUCCUGCGGGGAACUUCACCAGUGACCCAGUCAGUGCCCUUCAGUUAAAGACCACCAGGAGCACACUUGCAGGAGUAGGGCUGAUUGGAGCCAUUGUACAGUGUCGGGAACAUACCAGGACACUGAGAAUAGUGUCAUGUCAUAAGGACCCAGAGCAGAUGGACCCUGCUGUGAUGCACAAAGGAGCUGGGCUGCUUGGAUCAGAGGUUCCAUGGUCUGAACUACUCCACUCUGGUGAAGGUUUCUUCCCCAAAGCCACUCCUCAAGCUGACUUAUAUUGUACCUGAGUUGCAUGCCUGUGCUCCAAGAGCAGACGUCCUUCCGCAGGAGCAGGUCAUUAAGAGUCACUGCGUUGAUCAUGUAGAAGAGCUGUUUGAAUACCUGCAGGAUGAUCUCAGGGUCCAAGCCCUGGUCACACAUGACUGUAUGAAAGGCAUUCAUCUGGCGGAUGAUAGCUUCCAGGCGGUAUGAGUUAUCCCCAUCUGCCAUGCUGGAGGAGUGCUUCUGGGAGCCAGUGGGCUUCACACCAGAUAGACCCUGAAUGCUGUCAUUUUCCAACAUGGCAGAAACUAUCAUCGGCUGUAACACACCCUCGGCAAUUUUAAAGAGCUGCUGGUAGAUCUGAAUGGAAAGGUCGCUCAGUACCUGACGGUAUUCGGUGAGGUCAAAGUUCUUAAGGCAGUGUUCGUUGUGCUUUGCUGUAUUCUGAGUCAUGAAGCCCUCAUCCCCGCUGUACCGCUUCAGACAGUGAAGAAGGUGGCAGGUGUUGGAUAACAGGAAUGACGUCAUCUCAAAGUCAUCACUGUGCUUCUUCAGGACUUUCUUAAUGCCGUUGGUGGUGGAGGUCAUCAGGGAGUGCACCUUGAGAUCAUCGUUGGUUUGGUCCGCGAGCCGAAUGCACAUGUAGAGGAUGUAGGCGGAGAGACAGGGCACUGUGUCCAACAGCAUCUGGGGCUUCAAGUCUGUCACCAGGUUGAGGAUGAGGAGGGCCUCGCCCUCUUUGCGGCACUCCAACAUGCCCUGGAAAUCCUUUUCUUUCCACUGAACUGGGACCUGCCUGUUGAACUCAUGGCGCUUCCUCUCACUCUGGGCCAACGCCUGGGCAGCUUCUUCAUGUAAAUCUUCAGUUGCUUUUAGAGCUUCCUCUCAUUCUUUUCCUCUUACUUUAUUUUUCACCACAGAGCUUCCUAUCAACUAGUAUGUUGAAUAUUUUGCUUAUUAACUUUGUUUAUUGUCUUCUCCCUCGAUUAGAAUAUUAGCUACUUGAGUACAAGGAUUUGAGCCUGUUACAUUCACUGCUGAAUUUUAGGCUCCUGGAAGAUACCCAGCAUUCAAUAGAGACCACACAAUAAAUAUAUGUCAAAUAAA